AAGUUGCAACCUUCUAGCCUGUGCGGGACGGAGUGAGUAAUGCUUAGGAAUCUGCCUAUUAGUGGGGGACAACAUUUCGAAAGGAAUGCUAAUACCGCAUACGUCCUACGGGAGAAAGCAGGGGAUCUUCGGACCUUGCGCUAAUAGAUGAGCCUAAGUCGGAUUAGCUAGUUGGUGGGGUAAAGGCCUACCAAGGCGACGAUCUGUAGCGGGUCUGAGAGGAUGAUCCGCCACACUGGGACUGAGACACGGCCCAGACUCCUACGGGAGGCAGCAGUGGGGAAUAUUGGACAAUGGGCGCAAGCCUGAUCCAGCCAUGCCGCGUGUGUGAAGAAGGCCUUAUGGUUGUAAAGCACUUUAAGCGAGGAGGAGGCUACUGGAGUUAAUACCUUCAGAUAGUGGACGUUACUCGCAGAAUAAGCACCGGCUAACUCUGUGCCAGCAGCCGCGGUAAUACAGAGGGUGCAAGCGUUAAUCGGAUUUACUGGGCGUAAAGCGCGCGUAGGCGGCUAAUUAAGUCAAAUGUGAAAUCCCCGAGCUUAACUUGGGAAUUGCAUUCGAUACUGGUUAGCUAGAGUGUGGGAGAGGAUGGUAGAAUUCCAGGUGUAGCGGUGAAAUGCGUAGAGAUCUGGAGGAAUACCGAUGGCGAAGGCAGCCAUCUGGCCUAACACUGACGCUGAGGUGCGAAAGCAUGGGGAGCAAACAGGAUUAGAUACCCUGGUAGUCCAUGCCGUAAACGAUGUCUACUAGCCGUUGGGGCCUUUGAGGCUUUAGUGGCGCAGCUAACGCGAUAAGUAGACCGCCUGGGGAGUACGGUCGCAAGACUAAAACUCAAAUGAAUUGACGGGGGCCCGCACAAGCGGUGGAGCAUGUGGUUUAAUUCGAUGCAACGCGAAGAACCUUACCUGGCCUUGACAUAGUAAGAACUUUCCAGAGAUGGAUUGGUGCCUUCGGGAACUUACAUACAGGUGCUGCAUGGCUGUCGUCAGCUCGUGUCGUGAGAUGUUGGGUUAAGUCCCGCAACGAGCGCAACCCUUUUCCUUAUUUGCCAGCGAGUAAUGUCGGGAACUUUAAGGAUACUGCCAGUGACAAACUGGAGGAAGGCGGGGACGACGUCAAGUCAUCAUGGCCCUUACGGCCAGGGCUACACACGUGCUACAAUGGUCGGUACAAAGGGUUGCUACCUAGCGAUAGGAUGCUAAUCUCAAAAAGCCGAUCGUAGUCCGGAUUGGAGUCUGCAACUCGACUCCAUGAAGUCGGAAUCGCUAGUAAUCCGCGGGUAUUCCAAAG
RNAcentral lists this ribosomal RNA (1290 nucleotides) under Acinetobacter calcoaceticus. Its description in RNAcentral is "bacterial SSU rRNA". It matches the Rfam family "Bacterial small subunit ribosomal RNA", at positions 75 to 1355 of the family's 1533-position model. Lineage: Bacteria; Pseudomonadati; Pseudomonadota; Gammaproteobacteria; Moraxellales; Moraxellaceae. The record is from RNAcentral.